This 507-nucleotide ribosomal RNA is filed under the name uncultured Glomeromycotina. Its description in RNAcentral is "partial small subunit ribosomal RNA". It matches the Rfam family "Eukaryotic small subunit ribosomal RNA", at positions 591 to 1092 of the family's 1831-position model. The record is from RNAcentral. Lineage: Eukaryota; Fungi; Glomeromycota.
CCAAUAGCGUAUAUUAAAGUUGUUGCAGUUAAAAAGCCCGUAGUUGAAUUUCGGGAUUGGCGCAUCGGUCGUGCCUUACGGGGUAUGAACUGGUGCAGUCAAUUUCUCACCUUCUGGAGAACCGCGAUGUCCUUAAUUGGGUGCCGCGGGGAACCAGGACCUUUACUUUGAAAAAAUUAGAGUGUUUAAAGCAGGCAUUUUUGCUUGAAUACAUUAGCAUGGAAUAAUAAAAUAGGACGGCAUGGUUCUAUUUUGUUGGUUUCUAGGACCACCGUAAUGAUUAAUAGGGAUAGUUGGGGGCAUUAGUAUUCAAUUGUCAGAGGUGAGAUUCUUGGAUUUAUUGAAGACUAACUACUGCGAAAGCAUUUGCCAAGGAUGUUUUCAUUAAUCAAGAACGAAAGUUAGGGGAUCGAAGACGAUCAGAUACCGUCGUAGUCUUAACCAUAAACUAUGCCGACUAGGAAUCAGACGAUGUUAAUUUUUUAAUGACUCGUUUGGCACCUUACG